GCCAGCCUUCAGUGGAGACUCAAAGCUCUCAUCAGAGGUGCAAAUGAAAGCAGGGGGAUAUAAUUGAACUUACUUCCUGAGCUGAUGCAAAGAUUAAAUUAAUUAGAACAGUGCCUCCUCGUACAGGACUCAUUAAGUAGUCCUGGCCUGGACCACAUGAGCCUCCAACCUUCACCACACUGCUGAAGGCCAAUGGAAAGUGGAGAGACACUCUGAGAGGAAGGACAGCAAGAAGAGACAAGAUAUGAGGACUUACGCCAGCCAUAUCUGGCCCUGCCUUCAAGGAGGCUCAGCUGGUCAAGAACCAGCCCAGAUAGGAAGCUUUCAGGAACUUCAAGGACCCAGACUGGACUCCAGGACAGUCUUUGGUGCCCACUGGGCACAGUGCUGCGUAUAUGGGAUGAGGAUGCUAUCUCUGCAACCCAAAUGAGGUCCAGAAGAGCAAUCUAGAGGAGGACCAGAAGGCCCCAACCUCACUGAGGCCAUCUACAGAGCCAGAGGCUUGACUUCAUAGACUUCCAGCUUUGCUGACUGUGGGCAGCUAUUUGUCUGUUGCAGCGCGGCGGUGUUAGGAAGUAUUUGGAAAGUAUGACUUUCAGAAUGGUUCCAGUACAGCAGGCAAGGGCUCAAAACCAUUGCAAUGUGGAAACGGCUGCUGGAUGCAUUGUCCUGACCACAUGGCAUGCGCACAAAUCCUGUGGAAAGAGUAUCUCCUAGGGGACUACAGACACAAAGGGGCUCCCCACACAGACUGUCAGGCUGGAGCAGGAAGCCCAGCAGCCACCUGGCUUUGGCAGAAGAAACUUAGGAGAGAGUGAGCAUCCCUUCAAAACUAUGCUAAGCCCCACCCAAGCAGAGGCUCUUUCUGGGGCCCGGUGAGUCCUUCAUCCAAGCAACAAGGGCAAGGGUAGCUGUUAGAUAGAACUGAAAAGUGGAGAAGUCACUGGGAGGAAGAAAAUGGGCUGAUGAGAGAGAGAGAGAGAGAGAGAGAGAGAGAGAGAGAGAGAGAGAGAGAGAGAGAGAGAGCUGCAUUUGUAACUGAAACAAGAGAGGGAACUGCAUUAUUUAUGAAAUGGCCAAGCACGGAGUUAACAAGAAAGGAGGAGGCCUUUAGAAGGAAAGUGGUUUCAAAACAUCCGUAUUUUGCUGAAAAAGACGCACACACAAACUAUGAUGGAGAGAGUGCUGAGGUUUAGAACCGGAGAUGACUCUUGAGCAGUUACAGAUCAAGGGAGGGAAGAAGAGGGUCUGCAAGAGGUGGCAAAGGGAUAGAACA
This is a long non-coding RNA of Mastomys coucha (southern multimammate mouse), 1276 nucleotides long. RefSeq lists it as uncharacterized. The record is from RefSeq and is a predicted model, not a curated record. NCBI's taxonomy places the organism in Eukaryota, Metazoa, Chordata, Mammalia, Rodentia, Muridae. The transcript has 4 exons.